RNAcentral lists this transfer-messenger RNA (378 nucleotides) under Candidatus Azambacteria bacterium. It matches the Rfam family "transfer-messenger RNA". Rfam says of the family: Bacterial tmRNA, also known as 10Sa RNA or SsrA, is named for its dual tRNA and mRNA-like properties. Its role is to liberate the mRNA from a stalled ribosome. Lineage: Bacteria; Candidatus Azamiibacteriota. The record is from RNAcentral.
GGGGGUGAUGGGCUUCGAUAGAACUUGAAAAUUAAAUAUGCAGGACGAGGAUAUCUCGUAACCUUGAAAAUCCGGUCGCCUUGGGCGACUGUGACAAUCCCCGAGAUCCAGCAAAUAACUGGCAAAACAAAUUUAACUCCUGCUUUCGCUUUUGCUUAAGUAGCAUCGGUCGCCUGACGCCCAGUAGGACGAUACCGGUGUCAACAAUUGGGCUCUAACCUGAAAAUUCUUCGGUUCGGGUUGAACUAAAGAAGAAAUUGGGAAUCCCCCAUUUUGACUGUUUCAAGGAGGAUUUUCAAAAAAUUUAAACAGCCUACGCCUGUAGAAAUAUUUAAUUAAAAAUUCUAGAUGCGAGUUCAACUCUCGCCAUCUCCACUC